This 505-nucleotide ribosomal RNA is filed under the name Craugastor laticeps (broad-headed rainfrog). RNAcentral describes it as "partial 16S ribosomal RNA". The stretch from base 163 to 505 matches the Rfam family "Bacterial large subunit ribosomal RNA", at positions 569 to 1201 of the family's 2925-position model. Lineage: Eukaryota; Metazoa; Chordata; Amphibia; Anura; Craugastoridae. The record is from RNAcentral.
CCAAAAUCCUAGCCUCACUUUAAACAAUAGCCACCCCGCACCUAUUAUAACUAACUAAAAUAUUCUCACUUUAUAGUAAAGAAGAUUGAAAAACUACACGAAGCAAUAACUAUGUACCGCAAGGGAAAGCUGAAAUAACUGAAACAAACUAAAGCACAAAGCAGUAGAGACCAAAUCUCGUACCUUUUGCAUCAUGAUUUAACUAGUUCAACCAAGCAAAAAGACUUUAAGUUUGACACCCCGAAACUAAGUGAGCUACUUCGAGGCAGCCUACGGGGCGAACCCAUCUCUGUUGCAAAAGAGUGGGAAGACCUCCAAGUAGAGGUGACAGACCUACCGAACUUAGUGAUAGCUGGUUGCUUGCGAAAAGAAUCUCAGUUCCGCCUAAAGCCCUGCCAAUACAAUUAAAUGACACCCAAACUUUAGAGUAACUCAAUCAGGGAACAGCCUGCUUGAAACAGGACACAGCCUCAACCGAUGGGUAAUUAUUUCCCCCCCCCCCCCC